Molecule: ribosomal RNA, 577 nt
Filed under: uncultured bacterium
Lineage: Bacteria
Description: bacterial SSU rRNA
Rfam family: Bacterial small subunit ribosomal RNA
Source: RNAcentral
CCUACGGGAGGCAGCAGUGAGGAAUAUUGGUCAAUGGGCGAGAGCCUGAACCAGCCAAGUCGCGUGAAGGAUGACUGUCUUAUGGAUUGUAAACUUCUUUUGUAGGGGAAUAAAGAGAGGCACGUGUGCCUCAGUGAAUGUACCCUACGAAUAAGCAUCGGCUAACUCCGUGCCAGCAGCCGCGGUAAUACGGAGGAUGCGAGCGUUAUCCGGAUUUAUUGGGUUUAAAGGGUGCGUAGGCGGCCUGUUAAGUCAGCGGUGAAAUCUAGGAGCUUAACUCCUAAAUUGCCAUUGAUACUGGCGGGCUUGAGUGUAGAUGAGGUAGGCGGAAUGCGUGGUGUAGCGGUGGAAUGCAUAGAUAUCACGCAGAACUCCGAUUGCGAAGGCAGCUUACUAAGGUACAACUGACGCUGAAGCACGAAAGCGUGGGUAUCAAACAGGAUUAGAUACCCUGGUAGUCCACGCAGUAAACGAUGAUAACUGGGCGUAUGCGAUAUAAGUAUGCUCCUAAGCGAAAGCGUUAAGUUAUCCACCUGGGGAGUACGCCGGCAACGGUGAAACUCAAAGGAAUUGACGG